This 795-nucleotide ribosomal RNA is filed under the name Triticum aestivum (bread wheat). RNAcentral's name for it is "partial small subunit ribosomal RNA". The record is from RNAcentral. Lineage: Eukaryota; Viridiplantae; Streptophyta; Magnoliopsida; Poales; Poaceae.
AUGCAGAGCUGGGAUGACCAGUUCGUGGCCGUGCACGACGGGUUCAAGGUGCUCAAGCUUCGGUACAAGAUGGUGGACGCGUUCCUGACGCGUGAUCCCAGGAAGCCCGCCCCAUUCUUUCCGAAGAGUGCUCCGCUCCUCCGUCCUGAUCGAUUCUCUCAUGCCGCUUCACCUUCCCGCCAUGGUUCCUACGGCCGCGCCGGUCCGUAUCCGUACUCCAGCGGACAUCCAAACGCAUCUUCCAGCCUCGCCGACCCGUACGGCGACAUUAACACGUAUUCAACCGCGUCCUCCAGCUCCACACAGUUCUCCUUGUGCAUCUUCCUCCCGGACGCCGACGACGGCCUGCGCAGCCUGGUCGACGCGAUCGCUUCACGGCCGGGCUUCCUGCACGACCACCUGCCUCGCCGGAAGGUCGAGGUCGGCGAGUUCCGGGUGCCCAGGUUCAAGCUGUCCUUCCACGACAGCGUGGUCGACGUCCUCAAGGAGUUGGGCCUCAGCCUGCCGUUCAGCCCGCUGGGCGACCUGUCCGACAUGACGGGGCCCGACGACUCCGGCUUCGGAAUGGUCGUGGACGAAGUCGUCCACAAGGCGGUGAUCGAGGUGAACGAGGAGGGCACGGAGGCCGCGGCCGUCACCAUGGUUACUGACCGAUAUGGCUGCGCGGCCAGGUACAGUCCGCCGCGGCGGGUGGAUUUCGUCGCUGAUCAUCCGUUUGCCUACUUCAUCGUGGAGGAGGAGACCGGCGCCGUCGUCUUCGCCGGCCAUGUCGUUGACCCCUCGAGAGAAAGUUAG